AAAACGCCGUGCUUAACACGGCGCUUGCUUUCGAUACGGGCAGACUAGAGGUAUGCAGGGGAGACUGGAAUUCCUGGUGUAGCGGUGGAAUGCGCAGAUAUCAGGAGGAACACCAAUGGCGAAGGCAGGUCUCUGGGCCAUAACUGACACUGAGGAGCGAAAGUGCGGGGAGCGAACAGGAUUAGAUACCCUGGUAGUCCGCACCGUAAACGGUGGGCACUAGUUGUGGGAACCUUCCACGGUUUCCGCGACGCAGCAAACGCAUUAAGUGCCCCGCCUGGGGAGUACGAUCGCAAGAUUAAAACUCAAAGGAAUUGACGGGGCCCCGCACAAGCAGCGGAGCAUGCGG
RNAcentral lists this ribosomal RNA (349 nucleotides) under uncultured bacterium. RNAcentral describes it as "bacterial SSU rRNA". It matches the Rfam family "Bacterial small subunit ribosomal RNA", at positions 597 to 944 of the family's 1533-position model. The record is from RNAcentral.